UGUGAAGAAGGUCUUCGGAUUGUAAAGCACUUUAAGUUGGGAGGAAGGGCAGUAAGUUAAUACCUUGCUGUUUUGACGUUACCGACAGAAUAAGCACCGGCUAACUCUGUGCCAGCAGCCGCGGUAAUACAGAGGGUGCAAGCGUUAAUCGGAAUUACUGGGCGUAAAGCGCGCGUAGGUGGUUCGUUAAGUUGGAUGUGAAAGCCCCGGGCUCAAC
This 217-nucleotide ribosomal RNA is filed under the name Pseudomonas putida. RNAcentral describes it as "partial 16S ribosomal RNA". It matches the Rfam family "Bacterial small subunit ribosomal RNA", at positions 404 to 613 of the family's 1533-position model. The record is from RNAcentral. Lineage: Bacteria; Pseudomonadati; Pseudomonadota; Gammaproteobacteria; Pseudomonadales; Pseudomonadaceae.